This 693-nucleotide ribosomal RNA is filed under the name Vibrio sp. RNAcentral describes it as "bacterial SSU rRNA". It matches the Rfam family "Bacterial small subunit ribosomal RNA", at positions 67 to 740 of the family's 1533-position model. Lineage: Bacteria; Pseudomonadati; Pseudomonadota; Gammaproteobacteria; Vibrionales; Vibrionaceae. The record is from RNAcentral.
CGGAACGAGUUAUCUGAACCUUCGGGGAACGAUAACGGCGUCGAGCGGCGGACGGGUGAGUAAUGCCUAGGAAAUUGCCCUGAUGUGGGGGAUAACCAUUGGAAACGAUGGCUAAUACCGCAUGAUGCCUACGGGCCAAAGAGGGGGACCUUCGGGCCUCUCGCGUCAGGAUAUGCCUAGGUGGGAUUAGCUAGUUGGUGAGGUAAGGGCUCACCAAGGCGACGAUCCCUAGCUGGUCUGAGAGGAUGAUCAGCCACACUGGAACUGAGACACGGUCCAGACUCCUACGGGAGGCAGCAGUGGGGAAUAUUGCACAAUGGGCGCAAGCCUGAUGCAGCCAUGCCGCGUGUGUGAAGAAGGCCUUCGGGUUGUAAAGCACUUUCAGUCGUGAGGAAGGUGGUGUAGUUAAUAGCUGCAUUAUUUGACGUUAGCGACAGAAGAAGCACCGGCUAACUCCGUGCCAGCAGCCGCGGUAAUACGGAGGGUGCGAGCGUUAAUCGGAAUUACUGGGCGUAAAGCGCAUGCAGGUGGUUUGUUAAGUCAGAUGUGAAAGCCCGGGGCUCAACCUCGGAAUAGCAUUUGAAACUGGCAGACUAGAGUACUGUAGAGGGGGGUAGAAUUUCAGGUGUAGCGGUGAAAUGCGUAGAGAUCUGAAGGAAUACCGGUGGCGAAGGCGGCCCCCUGGACAGAUAC